GAUGAAGAACGUAGCGAAAUGCGAUAAGUAAUGUGAAUUGCAGAAUUCAGUGAAUCAUCGAAUCUUUGAACGCACAUUGCGCCCGCCAGUAUUCUGGCGGGCAUGCCUGUUCGAACGUCAUUUCAACCAUCAAGCCCCAGGCUUGUGUUGGGGACCUGCGGCUGCCGCAGGCCCUGAAAACCAGUGGCGGGCUCGCUGUCACACCGGGCGUAGUAGAUUUUAUCUCGCUCAGGGCGUGCUGCGGGUUCCGGCCGUUAAAAAGCCUUUUUUACCCAAGGUUGACCUCGGAUCAGGUAGGAAGACCCGCUGAACUUAAGCAUAUCAAUAAGCGGAGGA
This 336-nucleotide unclassified non-coding RNA is filed under the name soil metagenome. RNAcentral describes it as "partial contains 5.8S ribosomal RNA, internal transcribed spacer 2, and large subunit ribosomal RNA". The stretch from base 1 to 120 matches the Rfam family "5.8S ribosomal RNA", at positions 35 to 154 of the family's 154-position model. The record is from RNAcentral.